This 497-nucleotide ribosomal RNA is filed under the name uncultured bacterium. Its description in RNAcentral is "partial 16S ribosomal RNA". It matches the Rfam family "Bacterial small subunit ribosomal RNA", at positions 28 to 507 of the family's 1533-position model. The record is from RNAcentral.
GAUGAACGCUGGCGGCGUGCCUAAUACAUGCAAGUCGAGCGAACAGACGAGGAGCUUGCUCCUUUGACGUUAGCGGCGGACGGGUGAGUAACACGUGGAUAACCUACCUAUAAGACUGGGAUAACUUCGGGAAACCGGAGCUAAUACCGGAUAACAUUUUGAACCGCAUGGUUCAACAGUGAAAGACGGUCUUGCUGUCACUUAUAGAUGGAUCCGCGCCGCAUUAGCUAGUUGGUAAGGUAACGGCUUACCAAGGCAACGAUGCGUAGCCGACCUGAGAGGGUGAUCGGCCACACUGGAACUGAGACACGGUCCAGACUCCUACGGGAUGCAGCAGUAGGGAAUCUUCCGCAAAGGGCGAAAGCCUGACGGAGCAACGCCGCGUGAGUGAAGAAGGUCUUCGGAUCGUAAAACUCUGUUAUUAGGGAAGAACAAAUGUGUAAGUAACUAUGCACGUCUUGACGGUACCUAAUCAGAAAGCCACGGCUAACUACGUG